UGGGGAAUUUUGGACAAUGGGGGAAACCCUGAUCCAGCCAUCCCGCGUGUGCGAUGAAGGCCUUCGGGUUGUAAAGCACUUUUGGCAGGAAAGAAACGUCAUGGGUUAAUACCCCGUGAAACUGACGGUACCUGCAGAAUAAGCACCGGCUAACUACGUGCCAGCAGCCGCGGUAAUACGUAGGGUGCAAGCGUUAAUCGGAAUUACUGGGCGUAAAGCGUGCGCAGGCGGUUCGGAAAGAAAGAUGUGAAAUCCCAGAGCUCAACUUUGGAACUGCAUUUUUAACUACCGGGCUAGAGUGUGUCAGAGGGAGGAGGAAUUCCGCGUGUAGCAGUGAAAUGCGUAGAUAUGCGGAGGAACACCGAUGGCGAAGGCAGCCUCCUGGGAUAACACUGACGCUCAUGCACGAAAGCGUGGGGAGCAAACAGG
RNAcentral lists this ribosomal RNA (429 nucleotides) under Acidobacteriota bacterium. RNAcentral's name for it is "Acidobacteria bacterium partial 16S ribosomal RNA". It matches the Rfam family "Bacterial small subunit ribosomal RNA", at positions 355 to 776 of the family's 1533-position model. The record is from RNAcentral. Lineage: Bacteria; Pseudomonadati; Acidobacteriota.